Non-coding RNA from Pelobates cultripes (western spadefoot toad), 412 nucleotides. Lineage: Eukaryota; Metazoa; Chordata; Amphibia; Anura; Pelobatidae. The record is from the annotation of a GenBank genome assembly.
GGGCAUUUUGUAUAUUUGAUAUGUUCCACUAUGAUCAAACACCCCUAAUUAUACUCAGCUAAGUCUUCUGAGUAAAACAAUACCCCCAAUGUAUGUCUUUUACUCUAUUUGGUGUCACUACAGUGCCAUAAAGGAGACCUGACCAUUUCAGUUUUUAGAGUAGAAUUUUGAGAGACGGAUUUGCAGGGCUUAUGUUUCAGUUUGGGCCAUUAUAGCAGUUUGACUGUUUCAAAAACCGCAAAAAGGCCUACCAUUUGUGAAAGUAGACAUUCCAGAGUAUCUCACAUGGCAUAUAUUGUGCCUUAACAUGUCCCCAUUUUUUCACCAUGAUAUGUCAAAGGUUGUGGUAAAAAAAUAUUUUUUGCAUUUUUAAUUUAUGCGUUACAUUUGUGCUGGGCAUUUUGUAUAUUUG